AUUGAACGCUGGCGGCAGGCUUAACACAUGCAAGUCGAGCGGAUGAAGGGACCUUGCCCUUGGAUUCAGCGGCGGACGGGUGAGUAAUGCCUAGGAACCUGCCUGGUAGUGGGGGAUAACGUCCGGAAACGGGCGCUAAUACCGCAUACGUCCUGAGGGAGAAAGCGGGGGACCUUCGGACCUCACGCUAUCAGAUGAGCCUAGGUCGGAUUAGCUAGUUGGUGGGGUAAAGGCCUACCAAGGCGACGAUCCGUAACUGGUCUGAGAGGAUGAUCAGUCACACUGGGACUGAGACACGGUCCAGACUCCUACGGGAGGCAGCAGUGGGGAAUAUUGGACAAUGGGCGAAAGCCUGAUCCAGCCAUGCCGCGUGUGUGAAGAAGGUCUUCGGAUUGUAAAGCACUUUUAGUUGGGAGGAAGGGCAGUAAGUUAAUACCUUGCUGUUUUGACGUUACCAACAGAAUAAGCACCGGCUAACUUCGUG
This 484-nucleotide ribosomal RNA is filed under the name uncultured bacterium. RNAcentral describes it as "partial 16S ribosomal RNA". It matches the Rfam family "Bacterial small subunit ribosomal RNA", at positions 30 to 507 of the family's 1533-position model. The record is from RNAcentral.